This is a long non-coding RNA of Oncorhynchus tshawytscha (Chinook salmon), 312 nucleotides long. NCBI's taxonomy places the organism in Eukaryota, Metazoa, Chordata, Actinopteri, Salmoniformes, Salmonidae. The record is from Ensembl.
CCUGAUCUGUUGGUGACAGUAGGCCAUCUGAUCUGUUGGUGACAGUAGGUCAUCUGAUCUGUUGGUGCCAGUAGGUCAUCUGAUAUGUUGGUGACAGUAGGUCAUCUGGGUAGACCCUGAUCUGUUGGUGACAGUAGGUAAUCUGAUAUGUUGGUGACAGUAGGCCAUCUGAUCUGUUGAUUGCAGUGGGCCAUCUGAUCUGUUGGUGACAGUAGGUCAUCUGAUAUGUUGGUGGCAGUAGGUCAUCUGAUAUGUUGGUGACAGUAGGUCAUCUGAUAUGUUGGUGGCAGUAGGUCAUCUGAUAUGUUGGUG